GAGCUAACGCGUUAAGUCGACCGCCUGGGGAGUACGGCCGCAAGGUUAAAACUCAAAUGAAUUGACGGGGGCCCGCACAAGCGGUGGAGCAUGUGGUUUAAUUCGAUGCAACGCGAAGAACCUUACCUACUCUUGACAUCCAGAGAACUUACCAGAGAUGCAUUGGUGCCUUCGGGAACUCUGAGACAGGUGCUGCAUGGCUGUCGUCAGCUCGUGUUGUGAAAUGUUGGGUUAAGUCCCGCAACGAGCGCAACCCUUAUCCUUUGUUGCCAGCGGUUCGGCCGGGAACUCAAAGGAGACUGCCAGUGAUAAACUGGAGGAAGGUGGGGAUGACGUCAAGUCAUCAUGGCCCUUACGAGUAGGGCUACACACGUGCUACAAUGGCGCAUACAAAGAGAAGCGACCUCGCGAGAGCAAGCGGACCUCAUAAAGUGCGUCGUAGUCCGGAUUGGAGUCUGCAACUCGACUCCAUGAAGUCGGAAUCGCUAGUAAUCGUAGAUCAGAAUGCUACGGUGAUACGUUCCCGGGCCUUGUACACACCGCCCGUC
RNAcentral lists this ribosomal RNA (548 nucleotides) under Pantoea sp. L2.11. RNAcentral describes it as "bacterial SSU rRNA". It matches the Rfam family "Bacterial small subunit ribosomal RNA", at positions 848 to 1398 of the family's 1533-position model. The record is from RNAcentral. Lineage: Bacteria; Pseudomonadati; Pseudomonadota; Gammaproteobacteria; Enterobacterales; Erwiniaceae.